GAUGAACGCUGGCGGCGUGCCUAAUACAUGCAAGUAGAACGCUGAAGGAGGAGCUUGCUCUUUCCGGAUGAGUUGCGAACGGGUGAGUAACGCGUAGGUAACCUGCCUGGUAGCGGGGGAUAACUAUUGGAAACGAUAGCUAAUACCGCAUAACAGUAGAUAUUGCAUGAUAUUUGCUUGAAAGGGGCAAUUGCUCCACUACCAGAUGGACCUGCGUUGUAUUAGCUAGUUGGUGAGGUAACGGCUCACCAAGGCGACGAUACAUAGCCGACCUGAGAGGGUGAUCGGCCACACUGGGACUGAGACACGGCCCAGACUCCUACGGGAGGCAGCAGUAGGGAAUCUUCGGCAAUGGACGGAAGUCUGACCGAGCAACGCCGCGUGAGUGAAGAAGGUUUUCGGAUCGUAAAGCUCUGUUGUAAGAGAAGAACGAGUGUGAGAGUGGAAAGUUCACACUGUGACGGUAGCUUACCAGAAAGGGACGGCUAACUACGUG
Molecule: ribosomal RNA, 496 nt
Filed under: uncultured bacterium
Lineage: Bacteria
Description: partial 16S ribosomal RNA
Rfam family: Bacterial small subunit ribosomal RNA
Source: RNAcentral